UAAAGCCAAAUUAAGUCACAGCUUUCAGCUACUAGCAAUCAAAAGCAUUCUAACAGAUAACACGAAAGAAAUCUGUGGUCAUCCCAUAGCCAUAAUGAACAGUCCCUACCCUUAAAGACACUUUGCCUGGGUGUCUUGCGUUCUGCACAUUCCGGAGGACCAGCUUCCUCAUCAGAAGUCUGACUCCAUGGAAACCAGAUGGGGCAACGGGGUGGUUCUAGUGCAGACUGUAGCUGCAGCUCCUCUCCACCUCUAGCCUGCUCAUUUCCAGCUCAGAAAUUCUACUAAUGGCGUUUUUUCUUCCUGAAAAAGGAAAUGAACAGGGUCCCUGCUGAUUCUCCAAAUAUGUGUCUAAUCUGUUUACUGAGUUCCAUAGCACUUGGAGCCAUCCAUGCAAAAAUCUGUAGAAGAGCAUUCCAGGAAGAGGGAAGAGCAAAUGCAAAGACGGGCGUGAGAGCUUGGUGCAUACAGCCAUGGGCCAAAUAAAGUUUCCUUGGAAUAGCCA
Molecule: long non-coding RNA, 505 nt
Filed under: Homo sapiens (human)
Lineage: Eukaryota; Metazoa; Chordata; Mammalia; Primates; Hominidae
Description: HSALNT0209302
Source: RNAcentral